RNAcentral lists this ribosomal RNA (303 nucleotides) under uncultured bacterium. RNAcentral's name for it is "partial 16S ribosomal RNA". It matches the Rfam family "Bacterial small subunit ribosomal RNA", at positions 507 to 807 of the family's 1533-position model. The record is from RNAcentral.
AGCAGUAGCCGCGGUAAUACGUAGGUGGCAAGCGUUGUCCGGAAUUAUUGGGCGUAAAGCGCGCGCAGGUGGUUUAAUAAGUCUGAUGUGAAAGCCCACGGCUCAACCGUGGAGGGUCAUUGGAAACUGUUAAACUUGAGUGCAGGAGAGAAAAGUGGAAUUCCUAGUGUAGCGGUGAAAUGCGUAGAGAUUAGGAGGAACACCAGUGGCGAAGGCGGCUUUUUGGCCUGUAACUGACACUGAGGCGCGAAAGCGUGGGGAGCAAACAGGAUUAGAUACCCCUGUAGUCCCUGUCUCUUAUAC